UGGUAUUGAUUGGUGCUUGCAUCAUGAUUUACAUUUGAGUGAGUGGCGAACUGGUGAGUAACACGUGGGAAACCUGCCCAGAAGCGGGGGAUAACACCUGGAAACAGAUGCUAAUACCGCAUAACAACUUGGACCGCAUGGUCCGAGCUUGAAAGAUGGCUUCGGCUAUCACUUUUGGAUGGUCCCGCGGCGUAUUAGCUAGAUGGUGGGGUAACGGCUCACCAUGGCAAUGAUACGUAGCCGACCUGAGAGGGUAAUCGGCCACAUUGGGACUGAGACACGGCCCAAACUCCUACGGGAGGCAGCAGUAGGGAAUCUUCCACAAUGGACGAAAGUCUGAUGGAGCAACGCCGCGUGAGUGAAGAAGGGUUUCGGCUCGUAAAACUCUGUUGUUAAAGAAGAACAUAUCUGAGAGUAACUGUUCAGGUAUUGACGGUAUUUAACCAGAAAGCCACGGCUAACUACGUGCCAGCAGCCGCGGUAAUACGUAGGUGGCAAGCGUUGUCCGGAUUUAUUGGGCGUAAAGCGAGCGCAGGCGGUUUUUUAAGUCUGAUGUGAAAGCCUUCGGCUCAACCGAAGAAGUGCAUCGGAAACUGGGAAACUUGAGUGCAGAAGAGGACAGUGGAACUCCAUGUGUAGCGGUGAAAUGCGUAGAUAUAUGGAAGAACACCAGUGGCGAAGGCGGCUGUCUGGUCUGUAACUGACGCUGAGGCUCGAAAGUAUGGGUAGCAAACAGGAUUAGAUACCCUGGUAGUCCAUACCGUAAACGAUGAAUGCUAAGUGUUGGAGGGUUUCCGCCCUUCAGUGCUGCAGCUAACGCAUUAAGCAUUCCGCCUGGGGAGUACGGCCGCAAGGCUGAAACUCAAAGGAAUUGACGGGGGCCCGCACAAGCGGUGGAGCAUGGGUUUAAUUCGAAGCUACGCGAAGAACCUUACCAGGUCUUGACAUACUAUGCAAAUCUAAGAGAUUAGACGUUCCCUUCGGGGACAUGGAUACAGGUGGUGCAUGGUUGUCGUCAGCUCGUGUCGUGAGAUGUUGGGUUAAGUCCCGCAACGAGCGCAACCCUUAUUAUCAGUUGCCAGCAUUAAGUUGGGCACUCUGGUGAGACUGCCGGUGACAAACCGGAGGAAGGUGGGGAUGACGUCAAAUCAUCAUGCCCCUUAUGACCUGGGCUACACACGUGCUACAAUGGAUGGUACAACGAGUUGCGAACUCGCGAGAGUAAGCUAAUCUCUUAAAGCCAUUCUCAGUUCGGAUUGUAGGCUGCAACUCGCCUACAUGAAGUCGGAAUCGCUAGUAAUCGCGGAUCAGCAUGCCGCGGUGAAUACGUUCCCGGGCCUUGUACACACCGCCCGUCACACCAUGAGAGUUUGUAACACCCAAAGUCGGU
RNAcentral lists this ribosomal RNA (1390 nucleotides) under Lactiplantibacillus plantarum subsp. plantarum. RNAcentral describes it as "bacterial SSU rRNA". It matches the Rfam family "Bacterial small subunit ribosomal RNA", at positions 67 to 1431 of the family's 1533-position model. Lineage: Bacteria; Bacillati; Bacillota; Bacilli; Lactobacillales; Lactobacillaceae. The record is from RNAcentral.